Molecule: transfer RNA, 56 nt
Filed under: Salmo salar (Atlantic salmon)
Lineage: Eukaryota; Metazoa; Chordata; Actinopteri; Salmoniformes; Salmonidae
Also listed under: 1 other name
Rfam family: tRNA
About the family: Transfer RNA (tRNA) molecules are approximately 80 nucleotides in length. Their secondary structure includes four short double-helical elements and three loops (D, anti-codon, and T loops). Further hydrogen bonds mediate the characteristic L-shaped molecular structure. tRNAs have two regions of fundamental functional importance: the anti-codon, which is responsible for specific mRNA codon recognition, and the 3' end, to which the tRNAs corresponding amino acid is attached (by aminoacyl-tRNA synthetases). tRNAs cope with the degeneracy of the genetic code in two manners: having more than one tRNA (with a specific anti-codon) for a particular amino acid; and 'wobble' base-pairing, i.e. permitting non-standard base-pairing at the 3rd anti-codon position.
Source: Rfam by way of RNAcentral
GCUCAGUUGGUAGAGCAUGGCGUUUGCAACGCCAGGGUUGUGGGUUCGAUUCCCAC